CCGCCGCGGGCAGCAAUCCAAGAAAGCCUUUUCUUUUCUUUUUUUUCCCUUGAGUCACGGUGGAGGAACUCAGAAGCUCUUUGCUGCAGCCCAGUGGCCGCCGGCGGAACCUGACGGGGCUCGGAGGCCCGGGCGGGACAGGGCCAGGCCGUGAGCGUGCCCUUUAUCCCCCACAGCCGUGAGUUUGGGGGCAUCUGUCCCCCUUCGCAGGAUGAAGGCUGGUAACCCCAGUGUUAACCUCUGCAGAACUUAGAGGCAACAUCAAGUUAAAAGGAGGAGACCAGCUUCCCUCUCCACAUGCUCCCAGCAUGAUCCACUGCCCUACCACAGUACUGAAAGCAACACAACCAACUAUUCU
Molecule: long non-coding RNA, 358 nt
Filed under: Heterocephalus glaber (naked mole-rat)
Lineage: Eukaryota; Metazoa; Chordata; Mammalia; Rodentia; Bathyergidae
Description: lncRNA (ENSHGLG00000041591.1)
Source: RNAcentral